Molecule: unclassified non-coding RNA, 301 nt
Organism: Bison bison bison
Lineage: Eukaryota; Metazoa; Chordata; Mammalia; Artiodactyla; Bovidae
Rfam family: Metazoan signal recognition particle RNA
About the family: The signal recognition particle (SRP) is a universally conserved ribonucleoprotein. It is involved in the co-translational targeting of proteins to membranes. The eukaryotic SRP consists of a 300-nucleotide 7S RNA and six proteins: SRPs 72, 68, 54, 19, 14, and 9.
Source: Ensembl
UUUAUGUUAUGUGAAUUUCACCUCAAUUAACAAACAUUUUUAAAAAAUAUAUCUGUGCUUGAGCCCAGGAGUUCUGAGCUAUAACACAUUAUGCCUAUAUAGGCAUAAUAUAUGCCUAUAUUAUGCCUAAAUUUGGCAUCAAUAUCAUGACCUCUUGAGAGCAGAGGACCACCUGGUUGCCUAAGGAGGGGUGAGCUGGCCCAGGUCAGAAACAGAGCAGGUCAAAACUCCCCUGCUGAUCAAUAGUGAGACUGCGCUUGUGAAUAACCACUGCACUCCAGCCUGGGCAAUUCAGCACGAC